RNAcentral lists this ribosomal RNA (254 nucleotides) under uncultured bacterium. RNAcentral describes it as "partial 16S ribosomal RNA". It matches the Rfam family "Bacterial small subunit ribosomal RNA", at positions 524 to 776 of the family's 1533-position model. The record is from RNAcentral.
UACGUAGGGGCCUAGCGUUGUCCGGAAUUAUUGGGCGUAAAGAGCUCGUAGGCGGUUCGGCAAGUCGGAUGUGAAAUCUCCACGCUUAACGUGGAGGGGCCAUUCGAAACUGCUGUGACUCGAGUCCGGUAGGGGAGUGUGGAAUUCCCGGUGUAGCGGUGAAAUGCGCAGAUAUCGGGAGGAGCACCAGUAGCGAAGGCGGCACUCUGGGCCGGUACUGACGCUGAGGAGCGAAAGCGUGGGGAGCGAGCAGG